GACGAACGCUGGCGGCGUGCCUAACACAUGCAAGUCGAGCGGGGAUUUAAGUGGAAGUUCUUCGGAGUGGAGAUUUAAAUUCUAGCGGCGGACGGGUGAGUAACGCGUGAACAAUCUGUCCCGGACAGGGGGAUAACACUUGGAAACAGGUGCUAAUACCGCAUAAGACCACGGCCUCGCAUGGGGCUGAGGUAAAAGGAGCAAUCCGGUUCGGGGUGAGUUCGCGUCCGAUUAGCUAGUUGGUGAGGUAACGGCCCACCAAGGCGACGAUCGGUAGCCGGCCUGAGAGGGUGAACGGCCACAUUGGAACUGAGAGACGGUCCAAACUCCUACGGGAGGCAGCAGUGGGGAAUAUUGGGCAAUGGGCGAAAGCCUGACCCAGCAACGCCGCGUGAGGGAAGAAGGUUUUCGGAUUGUAAACCUCUGUCCUAUGGGACGAAGGAAGUGACGGUACCAUAGGAGGAAGCCCCGGCUAACUACGUG
RNAcentral lists this ribosomal RNA (483 nucleotides) under uncultured bacterium. RNAcentral describes it as "partial 16S ribosomal RNA". It matches the Rfam family "Bacterial small subunit ribosomal RNA", at positions 28 to 507 of the family's 1533-position model. The record is from RNAcentral.